UCCUGGCUCAGGACGAACGCUGGCGGCAGGCUUAACACAUGCAAGUCGAGGGGCAGCAUGAGGUAGCAAUACCUUGAUGGCGACCGGCGCAAGGGUGCGUAACGCGUGAGCAACUUGCCCGUUUCAGUGGGAUAACCGGUGGAAACGCCGACUAAUACCGCAUGGUGAUGUUUGGGGGCAUCCCCUUACAUCUAAAGAGAUUCGGAAACGGAUAGGCUCGCGUGACAUUAGCUGGACGGCGGGGUAACGGCCCACCGUGGCAACGAUGUCUAGGGGUUCUGAGAGGAAGGUCCCCCACACUGGAACUGAGACACGGUCCAGACUCCUACGGGAGGCAGCAGUGAGGAAUAUUGGUCAAUGGUCUGACGACUGAACCAGCCAUGCCGCGUGAAGGUGACGGCCCUAUGGGUCUUAAACUUUUUUUGCAGGGGUGCAAUAAGGAUCACGCGUGGUCCGAUGAGAGUACCCUGCGAAUAAGCAUCGGCUAACUCCGUGCCAGCAGCCGCGGUAAUACGGAGGAUGCAAGCGUUAUCCGGAUUUAUUGGGUUUAAAGGGUGCGUAGGCGGUCACUGUAAGUCAGUGGUGAAAUUCUGAUGCUUAACAUCACGAAGUGCCAUAGAUACUGCAGGGCUUGAAUGGGGUUGCUGUCAGCGGAAUGUGUAGUGUAGCGGUGAAAUGCAUAGAUAUUACACAGAACACCGAUUGCGAAGGCAGCUGACAAAACCUUGAUUGACGCUGAUGCACGAAAGUGUGGGGAUCAAACAGGAUUAGAUACCCUGGUAGUCCACACAGUAAACGAUGAUAACUAGCCGUUAGCGAUAUGAUAGUUAGUGGCCAAGCGAAAGCGAUAAGUUAUCCACCUGGGGAGUACGACCGCAAGGUUGAAACUCAAAGGAAUUGACGGGGGCCCGCACAAGCGGAGGAACAUGUGGUUUAAUUCGAUGAUACGCGAGGAACCUUACCCGGGCUCGAACGGUGCAUGAACAAACCAGAGAUGGUUUGGCUUUUCGGAGCAUGUAUCGAGGUGCUGCAUGGUUGUCGUCAGCUCGUGCCGUGAGGUGUCGGCUUAAGUGCCAUAACGAGCGCAACCCUUGUGGGUAGUUACCAUCGGGUCAAGCCGGGGACUCUACCCAGACUGCCGCCGUAAGGUGUGAGGAAGGUGGGGAUGACGUCAAAUCAGCACGGCCCUUACGUCCGGGGCGACACACGUGUUACAAUGGCAGGUACAGAGAGACGCUUACCAGCGAUGGUUGGCCAAUCUGCAAAAACCUGUCUCAGUUCGGAUAGGAGUCUGCAACUCGACUCCAUGAAGUUGGAUUCGCUAGUAAUCGCGCAUCAGCCAUGGCGCGGUGAAUAAAUUCCCGGGCCUUGCACUCACCGCCCGUCA
RNAcentral lists this ribosomal RNA (1387 nucleotides) under uncultured bacterium. RNAcentral describes it as "16S ribosomal RNA". It matches the Rfam family "Bacterial small subunit ribosomal RNA". The record is from RNAcentral.